RNAcentral lists this long non-coding RNA (692 nucleotides) under Rattus norvegicus (Norway rat). Its description in RNAcentral is "long non-coding RNA NONRATT003709". The record is from RNAcentral. Lineage: Eukaryota; Metazoa; Chordata; Mammalia; Rodentia; Muridae.
ACUAUAUGAUAAUUGCGUUUCUCCUUAAGUUUGAUUCGCAGCACACUUGUGAACAUAAAGAUGGUCUUCAUGGUGUCAUUCACAUAUGCGAAAAUGGGGACAAAAUGAAAAGGUUGUAAUAUGACACCACUUUAUUAUAGAUCGCUAUGCAGCCUUUAAAAUGUAUGUCUUUUUAAAAAAAGCAACACCAUAGGAAAAUUAAAAUCAAAAUUCUUAUAGCAUAAAAAGCAUAAUGUAGUUGUGAUAAAAUUUAUGCAUAAAAAUAAAAUGUAUGCAUAAUGGGAUUGAAGGGAUGCUUGGAGGUUAAAAGCACUUGCUACUUUUGCAGAUGAUGCUGGGACACUCAGAACCACCUAUGGCUCUAGUUCUAGAAGACCCAAUGCCCUCUUCUGGCCUCCAUAGGCACGCGCACACAUGUGAUAUACAUAGAGACAAGCGCAAGCUCGUGUGUACACACACAAAUAAUAAAUGUAAACAAAUUGUAAUAUAUGUGUAUAUGUACAUAGUUACCAAAAGGACUGGAUUCUAUCAGAAUAAAAACUGUGGAGCAAGGUGCACUUGUAAUUACAAAAUCCACGAGGCAAAAGUAAAAAAGAGUUCUGCAAGUUCAAGGUCAGCCUGGGUUACUUAGAAUUUCCUAGGACAGCCUGAGCUAUAAAGUACAGCCCUUUCUCAAAAAAAAAAAAAAAAAA